This 411-nucleotide ribosomal RNA is filed under the name Apocephalus sp. 214 JMH-2018. RNAcentral's name for it is "partial 16S ribosomal RNA". It matches the Rfam family "Bacterial large subunit ribosomal RNA", at positions 1802 to 2532 of the family's 2925-position model. Lineage: Eukaryota; Metazoa; Arthropoda; Insecta; Diptera; Phoridae. The record is from RNAcentral.
GUUUAUCAAAAACAUGUCUUUUAGAAUUUAAUUUAAAGUCUAGCCUGCCCACUGAAANNNUUUAAAUGGCCGCAGUAUCCUAACUGUGCAAAGGUAGCAUAAUCAUUAGUCUUUUAAUUGAAGGCUGGAAUGAAUGGUUGGAUGAAAUAUUAACUGUUUCAUAAAAAUUUAUAAUAGAAUUUUAUUUUUUAGUCAAAAAGCUAAAAUUUAAUUAAAAGACGAGAAGACCCUAUAAAUCUUUAUAUUUUAUUGGGGUGAUAUUAAAAUUUAAUAAACUUUUAAUUUAUAUUUAACAUAAAUUAAUGAAUUAUUGAUCCAUUUAUUAUGAUUAAAAAAUUAAGUUACUUUAGGGAUAACAGCGUAAUUUUUUUAGAGAGUUCAUAUUGAUAAAAAAGAUUGCGACCUCGAUGU